GGAUGUAAUCGUCUUGUUGUUAAAUCGGGGAAUAUGGAAGUGAUUGACACAAUGAAGAAUGGAGGACACUCAGCGGGAGCGGCGGCUGCAAUUUUUGAUGAUUGUUAUUUUUUGGCUUGUGAUUUUCCUCUUAUUAGAUUUGAACAUUGUAAUAGAGAAGCAAAUAAGAUGGUGCACGAAAUUGCUAGGCUAGCAAAAUUUUCUGUAAGUAGGGUUUCAUUUGAGGAGCCUAUGAAUGAUAUUGUAUCUUUUCUUAUGGGCGAUAUAACAAUUAUUUCUAAUUAA
RNAcentral lists this ribosomal RNA (285 nucleotides) under Triticum aestivum (bread wheat). RNAcentral's name for it is "partial small subunit ribosomal RNA". Lineage: Eukaryota; Viridiplantae; Streptophyta; Magnoliopsida; Poales; Poaceae. The record is from RNAcentral.